CCUACGGGAGGCAGCAGUAGGGAAUCUUUCACAAUGGGCGAAAGCCUGAUGGAGCAACGCCGCGUGCAGGAUGAAGGCCUUCGGGUUGUAAACUGCUUUUAUAAGCGAGAAAUAUGAUGGUAACUUAUGAAUAAGGAUCGGCUAACUACGUGCCAGCAGCCGCGGUCAUACGUAGGAUCCGAGCAUUAUCCGGAGUGACUGGGUGUAAAGAGUUGCGUAGGUGGCAUAAUAAGUAGCUAGUGAAAUCUGGUGGCUCAACCAUUCAGACUAUUAGCUAAACUGUUAAGCUCGAGACGGUUAGGGGUAACUGGAAUUUCUAGUGUAGGAGUGAAAUCCGUAGAUAUUAGAAGGAACACCAAUAGCGUAGGCAGGUUGCUGGGACGGUUCUGACACUAAGGCACGAAAGCGUAGGGAGCAAACGGGAUUAGAUACCCCAGUAGUC
This 442-nucleotide ribosomal RNA is filed under the name uncultured bacterium. Its description in RNAcentral is "partial 16S ribosomal RNA". It matches the Rfam family "Bacterial small subunit ribosomal RNA", at positions 338 to 795 of the family's 1533-position model. The record is from RNAcentral.